Molecule: RNA transcript, 5639 nt
Organism: Fukomys damarensis (Damara mole-rat)
Lineage: Eukaryota; Metazoa; Chordata; Mammalia; Rodentia; Bathyergidae
Gene: Ppp4r4
Gene name: protein phosphatase 4 regulatory subunit 4
Exons: 25
Source: RefSeq, a predicted model, not a curated record
UGUGUUUUACACUUGACAGACACCGGAAGAAAUAGAAAGAUUGACGGUUGAUGAAGACCUCAGUGAUGUUGAAAGGGCUGUUUAUCUGCUCAGUGCUGGUCAAGAUAUCCAAGGAACAAGUGUGAUUGCAAAUCUUCCAUUUUUGAUGCGACAGAAUCCUACUGAGACACUUCGGAGAGUUUUGCCAAAAGUCAGAGAAGCCCUGCAUGUUGCAGGAGUGGAAAUGCAGCUAACGGCCGCAGUGUCCUUUCUGACCAUCCUGCAGGAAGAGUCAGUGUCCACCCAUGCGUAUGCCCACUCCUUCCUCCAAGUCAUUCUCCUGCACCUGGAGCACAGGGACACAGGUGUCAGCAAUGCUUGGCUGGAGACUCUUCUGUCUGUGAUAGAAGUGUUGCCUAAAGAAACCCUGAGACAUGAGAUUUUGAAUCCACUCGUUUCCAAGGCACAACUGUCCCAAACAGUCCAGUCCCGUUUAAUUAGUUGUAAAAUUUUAGGAAAAUUGACCAACAAAUUUGAUGCCCAUAUCAUUAAAAGAGAAAUACUCCCUCUGGUAAAAUCACUCUGCCAAGAUGUAGAAUAUGAAGUCCGAUCUUGUAUGUGUCGGCAACUAGAAAAUAUAGCUCAGGGCAUUGGGGCAGAACUUACAAAAAGUGUGGUGCUCCCUGAACUAAUAGAACUCUCUAGGGAUGAAGGCAGCAGUGUGCGACUUGCAGCUUUUGAAACUUUGGUUAAUCUGCUUGACAUAUUCGACACAGAUGACAGAAGUCAAACUAUACUUCCCUUAGUGAAAUCAUUUUGUGAAAAAUCUUUUAAAGCAGAUGAAUCAAUUCUUAUUUCUUUAUCUUUCCAUUUAGGAAAACUAUGCCAUGGACUAUAUGGAAUUUUUACUCCAGAUCAACACUUGAGAUUUUUGGAGUUUUAUAAGAAACUUUGUACAUUGGGUUUGCAACAAGAAAAUGGACACAAUGAUAACCAGAUUCCACCCCAAAUCCUGGAGCAGGAAAAGAAGUAUGCUUCAGUACGGAAGAACUGUGCCUAUAACCUCCCGGCCAUGAUUGUUUUUGUUGAUCCUAAAAACUUCCACAUGGAACUCUAUUCUACAUUCUUCUGCCUUUGUCAUGACCCUGAAGUACCGGUCAGACACACUAUCGCUAUUUGCUUUUAUGAAGUGUCCAGACUUCUCAAUUCUGGAGUAUAUUUAAUACAUAAAGAACUGAUAACAUUAUUACAAGAUGAAUCACUGGAGGUACUAGAUGCUCUUAUAGAUCGUCUUCCAGAAAUUUUGGAGCUUAUGUCUACUGGUGGAGAAAGCAGUGUUCAAGAAAAUAAGCUGUCCUCUGUGCCUGACUUGAUCCCGGCACUCACGGCUGCUGAGCAGCGAGCUGCAGCCUCUCUGAAGUGGAGAACCCAUGAGAAGCUGCUGCAGAAAUAUGCCUGUCUGCCACACGUCAUAUCGAGUGAUCAGAUUUAUUACCGUUUCUUACAAAGAAUGUUCACAAUCAUGAUGACAAAUAAUGUCUUACCAGUCCAAAAGGCAGCUUCACGAACUCUAUGCAUUUUUCUACGAUACAAUCGUAAACAAGAACAGAGACAUGAGGUUAUUCAGAAAUUAAUUGAACAACUGGGCCAAGGAAAAAGUUACUGGAAUAGACUUCGAUUUUUGGACACCUGUGAAUUUAUCAUAGAGAUCUUUUCCAAAUCAUUUUUCUGUAAAUAUUUCUUUCUACCUGCUAUUGAGCUUACACAUGAUCCAGUAGCAAAUGUGAGAAUGAAACUGUGCUGUCUGUUGCCCAAAGUGAAAUCAACUCUGAAGAUUCCUGCAGAUAAGCACCUACUUCAGCAGUUAGAAAUGUGUGUAAGAAAACUCCUGUGUCAAGAAAAAGAUAAAGAUGUUCUGGCUGUUGUAAAAAGAACUGUGCUGGAAUUGGACAGAAUGGAAAUGUCUAUGGAUGCUUUUCAGAAAAAGUUUUAUGAAAAAGAUUUGUUGGAUCAAGAGAAAGAAAGAGAAGAACUGCUUCUUUUGGAAAUGGAGCAAUUAGAGAAGGAGAAGCAACAGAAUGAUGGCAGGCCCUCGAGUGAUAAAAUCUUUGAGAAAAAACGCAGAGAUAUGAAGAGCCUGUCGCAAAGUCUGCCCAAGAGCAUCCCCAUUUCUGUUCCUGGACCCUCUUCUAGCAGCUCAUCAGCAAGCAAAGAAAUCAAGAAAUCCAAAUUGAUUCGAAGCCAAUCUUUUAAUAAUCAAGCUUUUCAUGCAAAAUAUGGCAACUUAGAGAAAUGUGCUAGUAAAACUACAGCAGGAUAUACACCUUCUGUCUCAGGGUUAACAAAGAAUUCUGUGCUUUCACUAACUGAUGAUUCAUUCCGAACUCGAAGUGCCAGCAGUGCUCCAGCCUCCUUUUCUCUCAAUUCCUCCAUACCCAGUACCUCCCGUGGGACAGUUAACCCAACAGAUCCAGACAACAGCGGAAGUAAAGACUCACAACCCCGGAAGGCCACCUUGAAAUCCAGAAAAUCCAACCCUUAAAUCAACUGUUGAAGGAGACAAAGCAAAGACACCGGGAUGAACGUGGCUGGUGGACGAAAACUAAAGCGGUGGCUGGGCUUUAUUUCUUUUUUUUUUAAUUUUUGUUUGUUUUAAUGAAUGGAGAAAGAGACACAAUGGCAACUUAUGUUAAACUUGACCAUAUUUGAAAUUAAAUUCCCUAAGAGAGCAAGACGGCUCAUUCUUAAGUAAUGAAUAAGAGAAGCACAGUGAUCUCAACUAUAAACUACUCAGGGGAUGAUUACUUGGUAAAAGACUUCUUCAGGUCAUCAGUUUCCCCUUUUCUUUCCACCUGGCCUCUUUCGGGCAGUGCGUGUACAGUGAUUCAUAAUAUCCUGACUGAGAGGACAAUCAGGUAAAUAGAAUUGUUCGACUACUCAUUUUAACAGUAGUUAAAAAUCCAGUAGAUAUGAGAAACUUGCCAUUUCUGGUUAAAGAAAUUCAGCAUAGUUUCUGUGUAUUUCACUUAGCAAUUUUUAUUGCUGUCAUCUUCUACCAGUCUCAAUAAUAUGGACUUGACUGCAUUGUGUUCUGGAGAAUGUGUGGUGUGCAGUGGGACAGCAAAGCCCAUCUGUUGUUCCAUAGUCAGCACCGGCUCUUAUUUUAAAUAAAAUGGAGAAUUUCAAUUUAAUUGUUAAAAUACGUACCAAAGUUAUAAGUUUUUGUUUUCCCAUUAUGAAUAUGAGAAAAGGAAAGUUGUGUGAAAGGAAAAACACUACUAGUAGAGUUAAGAAAUAUAGAGAGAAGUCAGUUGCAUUCUUACAGCUAGUCAUUAAAUUCUUAGUUCAACAGUUAAUCAGAUUACUUUUGGACAAGUUGAUUUUUUUUCUCACAAACAUAACCUCUAAAAUUUUUGAAAUGUUUGUUAAAAUGAUAUUUCCAAGGACAGAUAUCAGCAAUCAAAAAUGGUGACAGUUAUGACUAUCCUCAUGUACCCCAGAAACAAGACUGAUAUUCUUCUGAGAAUUCUGUUUAACAGCCUCUCGUGUAGAUUCUUGUCGAUUCAUGUCGGUAACUAGAGGCAGACAAGGCCAUCUGAGGCUGAAAAGAACUGACCUUUCCAUGACCAAGCGUGACUGUGUUCAUUUCAGAGCAUUGUGUUCUCAUAGACCAGUGAUGGCGAACCUUUUAGAGCUUUCAAUGAUACAAACAGCCCACUGCAGCACACACGCCAUAGGUUUACCACCACUAUUGUAGAUUUUUCUUUUCUAGAUUGCAUCUGUUAGAAGUGAGAACAGUGCUGGAACCCUGUUCUUCUCUCUACAUUUCCCACAGACAAAUCUGGUUGACUGGACCUAGGUCAUAUAGGAUGCCAGUUUAAGUUAGUCUUCUUCCAUUGUUUCUCUCUCUCUAGGCUCUAGAAUUUCCUGCCUGUCAAAAAUGUCAAUUAGUACUCUGGGAUGGACUACAGGAAUGAAUUCAUGCCCACAUAUGGGGAUGGUGAAGUCAGUGUUUAGGCUGCCUGUUAGUAUUACCACCUAUUCCCAUUGCUUUGAUUUUAGUAAUCGAGGCAAUAAGUACGUUUUAGCAUAAGUAUAUCUAAGCACUAGCACAGAUAGAAAUCCAAUUAUGCAUUUAGUGAACACAGCUGACAGUCUAAGAUUUGUAAACUUUAUUUAGGAUUCUCUGGCUUGACCGUCCUAAAGUGGUGCCUUGUUUCCAUGCCAGAAAAUGGCUGACACAGCCCCACAGGCAUUGCUGUUCUCCUUUUGCCCUUGGGUUGGAGUCCAUGCUUAUAUUCUGUUUAACCAUGGUGGACAGCUCUGAAAUAAACACUGUGGAGCAGGAUCCCAGCACAUUUUCCAGGGCGGGAAGGAAGAUGAACAGGGUGUGGGGGUUAGACACGGAGGCCAGACCUCUGGUGCACCGGGGCCGCACUGGGAGACCUUGGUCUUCCUUCCACUGAGAUAGAGGUUUGAUUUAUCCAUCAGGUGAAGUAGGCACGGUGCCUGAGGCAGUCAUGGUGAAACUUUUGGAGACUGAGUGCCCAGACUGCACCUCAAAACCCACUUACUUAUCGCAAAGUGCCAACCCUGUAACUACAUCUGAAUACUGAGGUUUUUAGUUUAGGAAAAACAGAUGUUACCUGAGGCACGGCCGCUGGGGUAAAUUGGCUCACAUAUCCACAGAGAGGCUCUGCCUGCCCGCUGCAGCACGCGUGCCAUAGCUUUGUCAUCCCUGGCCUAAGGUCACCACGCCUCUAAGGGCUGAGGAAGAGGUUUUAUUUCUAGCAGAAAGCAAGACACAUAGUUUGCAUUGUUAGAAGGGUGAAUAACCCAGAAUAUAUUCGUCCUGACACCAAUGAAGUUAUGUAUGAAUAAUGUAAAUAGUAUAAAUGUAUAUAUAAAUACUACAAAUCGUAUAUGUGCUAAAUCUAUAUACACACACGUGUGUGUGUGUGUGUGUGUGUGUGUGUGUGUGUAUGCCUAGUGCCUUCGAAAGUCACAGUGUGAUCCAAUUUCUGGGCCUCUUAUUCUUUUCUUUGUAAAAUGAAAGCAUUUAACUGGAUGAUCUUUGGUGAAGCACAGAGUCAAAUAAACAUCAUUGAGUUAGACACUGAUCAGCACUGGUUAUGGCAGUUUUCUCUAACUUUGGUCAGCACGGAAUAUUCUGUAACAGACUGAAGUGAAAUGCUUACUUUCCAUCACAGAGAAGUGGACAGAGAAGCAUGGCUCAAGGAGGUUGCUUGCCCUACCCUCAAAGGCUUCCUUGUGGAAUUGGGUGCCAGUCUACUAUGUGUCGAGUACAGAUGUGUGAGCGAGAUAUGAGAGAGGAGAGGUCCUCCACCUAGGUAGGCUUCCGGCACUUAACUAAGGCUCUUAGGACCAGGUUUAAAUGCCAGACAGAUUGCACAGACAUCUCCUGUAAAUGAGUGUCAGUUUAAUAUGUGUGUUAAUUUGAGAACAGCCCAUAGCAGCUAAGGACAGCAGGGAUGUGCCUUUCCUCGGCCACCUGGCAGGAUGACCCAUGUGGGUGCAGACGCCUCCACCUCAGCCAGCACCUGAUGUCACACUGAGUGCUCUUGCAUGUCCUGAGUCACAGGACAGUCGGGUUGACCACCCUGCCCAGAAACAGGAGCAUCCUGGAGGUUUCCUCAUAG